Molecule: ribosomal RNA, 2999 nt
Filed under: Densicystis glomerata
Lineage: Eukaryota; Viridiplantae; Chlorophyta; Trebouxiophyceae; Chlorellales; Oocystaceae
Description: partial 18S ribosomal RNA
Rfam family: Eukaryotic small subunit ribosomal RNA (bases 550-2999)
Source: RNAcentral
UAUAAGCUGCUUAUACUGUGAAACUGCGAAUGGCUCAUUAAAUCAGUUAUAGUUUAUUUGAUGGUACCUUACUACUCGGAUAACCGUAUAGGUUCUAAUGCGGUUGAAAGGGGUCGGCGCGAGCUGGCCUCUAGUAGAACACUACCGGUUCUUUACAGCUUGCUGUGGAGGCUGCCGGUCGCGGUUUUGCGACACUGUCAAAUUGCUCGGAAGCCCUGUAAARAGCUGAGUACCGCCCCUAUUGGGAAACCUGUAGGGGCACCCAGUCGAAAAGGCUGGGGUAUGGUAACAAUCUCUGCUAUAGGGGCAAUGAGCAGCCAAGCCCUAAGGGUGAAAAUCCUACGGGUGCAGUCCACAGACUAAAUGGCAGUGGGUGUCAGUCAAGGAGGACAACUCCUUUCGACUGAUGCUUAAGAUAUAGUCGGUCCCCACUGAGAGGUGGACUCGAGGAGGAAGGGUUCGCCCCGAGAGCCUCGAGUGGUAGUUGGCUUUAAAAGCGCCUGGGGUGACCCAGUGUGCCGGCCCCCUUGUAUACGGGAUGCCGUGCCCUACCGGAGCAAACGAGUAAACCUAGAGCUAAUACGUGCGCACAUCCCGACUUCUGGAAGGGACGUAUUUAUUAGAUAAAAGACCGACCGGCUUCGGCCGCCCCUCGGUGAAUCAUGAUAACUUCACGAAUCGCACGGCCUUGUGCCGGCGAUGUUUCAUUCAAAUUUCUGCCCUAUCAACUUUCGAUGGUAGGAUAGAGGCCUACCAUGGUGGUAACGGGUGACGGAGAAUUAGGGUUCGAUUCCGGAGAGGGAGCCUGAGAAACGGCUACCACAUCCAAGGAAGGCAGCAGGCGCGCAAAUUACCCAAUCCCGACACGGGGAGGUAGUGACAAGAAAUAACAAUACUGGGCUCUUUCGAGUCUGGUAAUUGGAAUGAGAACAAUCUAAACCCCUUAUCGAGGAUCCAUUGGAGGGCAAGUCUGGUGCCAGCAGCCGCGGUAAUUCCAGCUCCAAUAGCGUAUAUUUAAGUUGCUGCAGUUAAAAAGCUCGUAGUCGGUUUUCGGGCGGGCUGCGCCGGUCUGCCUUUGGUAUGCACUGGCGCGCCCCGCUUUUCUGUCGGGGACGGGCUCCUGGGCUUUACUGUCCGGGACCCGGAGUCGACGCUGUUACCCAUUCAGGUUGGCAGCUAAAAGUCACUCGGAAACGAGUGGCUAGUGAGUCGGGGACCCCAUCCCUAGACCCGCGACACCGUCGAAUUGCGGGAACAUCCUUUAGAGCCCCACCUACCAAGCUGUAUGCCGAAAGGCGCAGUGGCCAGGGUAAUGACCUCGGGUAUGGUAAUAACGGUGGGGAUUGGACAAUCCGCAGCCAAGCCCCUAAGGGAGCUAACGUUCCUAUGGGGAAGGUUCAGAGACUAAGUGGCGGUGGGCCCCUCUAAACGAGGGGGCUUAAGAUAUAGUCCAGCCCUGUGGAAACACAGCCUGGGGAGGAAAGACUGUACAGACAGAGACCCUGUUUCUGCCGGGGCAGCACAGUCUGGAGCUCCAGGAGCCGCCUGCUUCAGGCAGCGGUGGGAACACCUGUACCUUGAAUAAAAUGGAGUGUUCAAAGCAGGCAUACGCUCUGAACAUAUUAGCAUGGAAUAACGAUAUAGGACUCUGGCCUAUUUCGUUGGUCUGUGGGACCGGAGUAACGACCAAUGGGGGCAGUCGGGGGCAUUCGUAUUUCGUUGUCAGAGGUGAAAUUCUUGGAUUUACGAAAGACGAACUGCUGCGAAAGCGUUUGCCAAGGAUGCUUUCGUCGAUCAAGAACGAAAGUUGGGGGCUCGAAGACGAUUAGAUACCGUCCUAGUCUCAACCAUAAACGAUGCCGACUAGGGAUCGGCGGAUGUUCUUUCGAUGACUCCGCCGGCACCUCAUGAGAAAUCAAAGUGUUUGGGUUCCGGGGGGAGUAUGGUCGCAAGGCUGAAACUUAAAGGAAUUGACGGAAGGGCACCACCAGGCGUUAAAUAGCUCUAGCGCCUAUAGAGUGCGGGCUCCAACCCCGUGCUAGUGGAUGCGUGCUCUGAUGCACGCCCGCGACACCGUCAAAUUGCGAGGAAGCCCUAAAGCUCGAACGUACCAAGGCAGGCGUGGAAACAGCUUGCUGGCCCCAGGUAAUGCUGGGGGUAUGGUAACAACCGUUUGAGAUGAUCUGCACAGCAGUGAAAUGGGUUAUUCGCAGCCAAGCCCUAAGGGCAUCGCUCCCCCGCAAGGUGGCAGCGAUCCUACGGGUGCAGUCCACAGACUAAAUGGCGGUGGGCAUGCCUUUGCCCCGUUGGGGAAAGGUCUGCUUGAGAUAUAGUCGAGACCACUCCAAACGGAGUGCCUUUGGGAGGAAGCUGCACGCUCGUUGGAGCGUGCCGAGAGCCCAAAGGGGGUGGGGUAAUAGCGUGUUGGGCAACCAACCCGCGGGUUUCUCACAGCUGUGGGAGAUACCCCCCGCCCGAAAUGAACGGGAGCCUGUGGCUUAAUUUGACUCAACACGGGAAAACUUACCAGGUCCAGACAUAGUGAGGAUUGACAGAUUGAGAGCUCUUUCUUGAUUCUAUGGGUGGUGGUGCAUGGCCGUUCUUAGUUGGUGGGUUGCCUUGUCAGGUUGAUUCCGGUAACGAACGAGACCUCAGCCUGCUAAAUAGUCACGUCCGGUUUUCCGGUCGGCCGACUUCUUAGAGGGACUAUUAGCGUCUAGCUAAUGGAAGCAUGAGGCAAUAACAGGUCUGUGAUGCCCUUAGAUGUUCUGGGCCGCACACGCGCUACACUGACGCGAUCAGCGAGCCUAGCCUUGGCCGAGAGGUCCGGGUAAUCUUGCAAACCGCGUCGUGAUGGGGAUAGAUUAUUGCAAUUAUUAAUCUUCAACGAGGAAUGCCUAGUAAGCGCAGGUCAUCAGCCUGCGUUGAUUACGUCCCUGCCCUUUGUACACACCGCCCGUCGCUCCUACCGAUUGGGUGUGCUGGUGAAGCGUUCGGAU